Long non-coding RNA from Clarias gariepinus (North African catfish), 2833 nucleotides. RefSeq lists it as uncharacterized. The transcript has 3 exons. The record is from RefSeq and is a predicted model, not a curated record. Lineage: Eukaryota; Metazoa; Chordata; Actinopteri; Siluriformes; Clariidae.
GCUGCAGUGAGCCAAUGUACAGCGAAUGUGGAGCAUCUAAUGUUUUGCUAAAUUUGGGCAAAAUGUUAUAAUUAGUUUACAUUACAUUAAAAAAAAGAUUUAAUUUACUGUAUUUUAUUUUGUGAGUUUCGGGUGCUGAAGAUGUGUCUCUGGAGUGAAAAAUAUUCAACUCACUUUGGAUUUUACGCUUUGUAUUUAAUCUAUUUAAAAGGGAAAAACAGAAUUGAUGAUCAAUUGAGAACCUCUUAUGCUUUUGCUUGAAGGUUCUAGGUUCAAAUGGAUUCAACGCACGCUAUGUUCAGUCUUCCGAUUUCUCAUGUGUGGCUGUGGCCAGUCAGGAGAAGAUGAAGUUAAACUUUCUGUGCAGGAGACCACGCCGGCUAUGCAACCACUUUUAAACACGAGUUCUGUAAGACUCUGGUACUGAAACUGGGUGAAUCACCACCAGAGAAGCACAGCACAACAAGAACACCAUGGAAGAUGUCAUCAUAUAACAUGUGCCUUCUGGCUACUAUUUAAUUCCUGUAGCCUAAUUAGUCUCAGAGAUUCUCAGUCCUCCAGAUUUGUUCAUGUGGAAGUUAUGUCAUGUCAACUUCUAUAUGGAAACUGUUGCAUCCUGAGCCACCUUCUGUUAUCAGUGGAACUGAAGAUAUCAUGAAUCAUCAAACCUGAUAAAUCUUCAGCCUUGGGAGAUUUUUUAAUAUACUGUGGAUAUCUUUUCUGUACAUAUGUACAUGUGCUUGGCAGUGUUUUGUCCUUUUUUUUUUUCCUUUUUGCUAUACACUUUUAAUCUAAUUGUGCAAUUCAACUCUUGCACUUUUUAAUGUAAGGUUAAACCUUGGAAAAAUGUGAUCAUGUGACGCUCAGCAGACACACACAUACUACUCGUAUGUCAAGAAUUGCUCUUUUACCAAGUUAAAAUUUAUUUUAAAAUUUAGCUUGUCUUGCCAAACUGAGUUACUCGCAAUCCAUGUUAACACAUUUUUUAAAAUAAUUUUAACUGUAACACCAAUUUUAUAGCACUCUUUUAUAGCAUUAUAUUCCAUUCCUGUAGCGUAGGUUUUUAAUUUAGCAAUUUAAUAAAAAUAAUUCAGUUGUUUGUUAGUUUAUUCAGCCCUCUUUCUCCAAAUUGUUCUUUAAGUAUUAUUGAGUAAUAUUUGGGGUGAUUAAAAAAAUGAAGGUAAAAAAAUAGAUGAUGAUGCUGUAUUAAUUUAAUUAGUAAAAAUGGGGCUUUUAGUGUAAUGGAAUGUAUUGAGAGCUUAAAAUGCGGUGAACUUAACGUUUCUCAUGUAAAUAUAUGGUCUAUUAUAUAUGUAUGUAUUGUAAACAUAUCAUGCAUCAAUGUUAUGUGUAAUUGCUCUUUAUCAUUAUUGUAAAUUAAGCUUUUGCUUUCUCUGAGUCUCAUUUACCGGGCUGCUUUUACACUAGACACAAUUGCUUACUUAACACUGCCUCCACUCUCUUACUGGCCCACUUUUACAUUAAUAAUACUGUACUGUUCUGUACCCGAUUACUCUUGCGUACUUACUGUAAGCUCCUCGACACAGCAGAUGGCAGUAUGCACAUAGUUGGUUUGUGAUCUGGCGAUAAAUGCAAAGCUGUCAUUGUAUAUACAUUUAUUCCCCUACAUACAAAUGAGUUUCGUUCCAAAGGGCUCAUUCGUAAGUCCAAUUCGUAAUUGCAUCAAACCUCUAGGUACUAGGAUAUUAACACAGUAUAUUACAGUACACUGCUCUUAAGAAUUGUGUCGAUGGUUGAAUGAUUCAUGUUAAAAAAAACAAGCAAUAAAUGCCAUCUUUUUACCUCGCUCAGUUUUCUCAAGGAUGCAUGCUGCACGCACGCGCCGAUGUAUGGCGGACAUGUGAUCUAACUUCUGCUAUUGAACAUGCUCGAAUGUUUGUUCGUAUCUUCGAAAGUUUAUAACUCGAUUUGUCAUUUGUAGUGGACUUACUGUAUAGCUGAGACUAAUAACAUUGAUGACACGGCAUUAAAAACAGCAGCCCAUUCAGUGUUUAGGUACAGUCAGUUUUUAUAUUUGAUUCAAAUCAUGCUGAAGUACAGGUGUAAUUUGCACGUGCCUGUACUUCUCAUAGUGUAAAAGCACUUGUGUAAAUUUAUUUUAUUUAUUUUGUUUUUAUUCCUUAUUUGUACUUAUAAUGCAUAUGUUUACCCCCAAAAUACAUCAUAUACAGCAUGAAGUGAGUUGCUAUUUACAUCAAUUGCCUUUGGGUUUUUUUUUUUGUAAUCGAUAUUCGAAGUCAGUUUUGGCAUAUAGACUUGGUGGGAUUCUUUCAAAAAAUUACUUAAAAAAAUGAAUGCAUUCAAAAAGCAGAAUAGAUUGAUAUUAAUAUUAAAUCUAUAAUAGCUAGCUUAUAUAUCGACAUUUGUCCCAUCACAAUCCUUUAACCUGUUAAAGAAAGUUUAGCUUUAUAUUAGAUAACACAUCUAAACGUAUUUUAAAGUGUAAAUGUAUUUUAAUUAUAUUUAUAAGACAUCUAAAAAUAAAAAAGUGUAUUGUUAAAUUAUUUUUUUCCCAGCUAUCUACUGUACACACUGAAAUGUUACACUGACUAGGUAUCUAAUAAACACCAUAUCUUUUAAUACGCAUACAAAAUGAACUGUAUGGCUUAUAACUUGUUAAUGCACAGAAAUAACAUUUUGUAAGGUUGAAUAUCUUGUGCUUUGUUUUCACUAAGUUGUACUUCUUUUAUUGCCAGAGAGUGAAUCAUAGAUGAGAAAUUAAAAAAGUAGAUUGGAUAAAGUUUUGCCUUAAAAAAAACGUUAAAAAUCGUUUAAAAAUCAUUAAUACCCCUUCAUCGCUGUUAUUUCUGCA